RNAcentral lists this long non-coding RNA (334 nucleotides) under Lathyrus oleraceus (garden pea). RNAcentral's name for it is "Pisum sativum (pea) long non-coding RNA (PSAT_LNC007237)". The record is from RNAcentral. Lineage: Eukaryota; Viridiplantae; Streptophyta; Magnoliopsida; Fabales; Fabaceae.
AAUAUAAUAGAAAAACUUGGACUUGGACCUCUCUCAUUUGAGCCCACAAAGCCAUGAAAAUCAGGUUAUAAAAGAGGGAGAUCAGACAGAAAAAGGAAGAGAAGCAAAAUACUCUGAGGUUUCCUUGGAACAAAACCCUUGACAAAACCUGGAGAGAAACCUGACAGAGAACUCAGAGCAACCCCCAGGCAGCUCUGAAAAAUUCAAUCUGACUCACACACUUUCAUCUCACGCAAACCCUAACAUUGCCUUGCAAACCCAGCCGUGCCAUUUGAUUUCAACCGGUCUCUCCCAUCAGGUUUGCCUCAUUCCCAUGAUUUUAUGCUCUUAAUUU